UGCUCAAAGAUGAACUGCAGUGAUUCUCACGGUCCUUCCUCAGCCCUCAUCCAAGACUGCCCUCCACCACGCACCCAAAGCUGCCCUCCGCUCGCAAGGAUUCUCCUUUGUGAGCCUCCACAGCCGCCGCCCCACACUGGGCCUCCGGGGAAAAGCCACCGCCCCCACCCGCCAUAUUUCCCUGAUAGGCGUCCGCGUUGCAGCUCCUGGUGCUACUCUCCCCCAUGUGGCGAGUGUUUCUUUCCCCCAUCACCCCACCCAAUUGUUCUCCACAUCCCAAGAUGACCCAGAAGCUCCCCUGGGGACUGCUCGCCGGGAGAUAACACCCGCCAUCUCCUCCCCCUCCCCCGCCCCGGGACUCGCCCUCCCCCCAGCCGCCAUUUUACAACCAACUCCUCCACCCUUUCGCCUCGGCCUCCUGGCCCGCCAGUGUCUGCAGCGGAGGAGACCAAAGGGAUCAAAUUCCUGGGCCUGGGGCCUGCCACCGCUCCGGGAGCCCACAGGCCAUCUCCUACUUCUCGAAUCCACAUCCCCGGCCAGGCUCGGAGGCGAUGCCGCCAUUUUGUCUCCUGUUCCCGGCCUCUGUGGGCGGCGGCAGAGGGUCCGACAAUUCCAGCCCCCUGUUGCCCCCCCAACUUACCGUCGUAUCGCUCAGCCUGCUCGGCCAGCUUCGCCUGGUACACCAGAUCCUCCCGAUCAUCCAUAGCGGCAGCGGCUCCGGCAGGGUCUGCGCGACGGAUGGAAGCGGAUAGCGUCUCCGACUCUCUCAGCCUCUCGCUCCGUGUCCGGGCAGCAAAAAUGGCGGCGCCUCAAUCCGGGACUUCCGCCUGCGCACGCGGACAACUGCUCAGCUCUAUGGCAACCGCUCCCUGGCAACUGGCGCGGGGGGCGGGUCCGGGAGCUCUGAGCCCGAAGACGCUGGAACCAGCUAGACGUCCCUCCUCCACGGGCUCCGCGGGUGUUGGAGAGCUGAGGCGGGAACUGCGACGCCUGGGAGGAGAGCAGCCCCGAGAGAGGGCGGGGUGGGGGGCCCCGCCUGGACCGCUCCUGAAGCGAGCGACCCAUCAUGGAUAGGAACAAGGAAGUUGUUAGAGAAGUCUCCUGUCCAGUGCAGGGUGUGGAAGAGUGGGACGGAGAUUAAAUCGAGCUUGAGGAGGCAGGACCGGGAAAGAACUGGCCUGUUUUGCUUCCUAGUGGAUUCCCAGCACCUCGUACUCAAUAAAUAUUGGUUGCAAAACUGAA
Molecule: long non-coding RNA, 1242 nt
Organism: Canis lupus familiaris (dog)
Lineage: Eukaryota; Metazoa; Chordata; Mammalia; Carnivora; Canidae
Exons: 2
Source: RefSeq, a predicted model, not a curated record